RNAcentral lists this ribosomal RNA (253 nucleotides) under uncultured bacterium. RNAcentral describes it as "partial 16S ribosomal RNA". It matches the Rfam family "Bacterial small subunit ribosomal RNA", at positions 524 to 776 of the family's 1533-position model. The record is from RNAcentral.
AACGUAGGAGGCGAGCGUUGUUCGGAAUUACUGGGCGUAAAGCGCACGUAGGCGGCUACUCAAGUCAGAGGUGAAAGCCCAGGGCUCAACCCUGGAACUGCCUUUGAAACUAGGUAGCUAGAAUCUUGGAGAGGUCAGUGGAAUUCCGAGUGUAGAGGUGAAAUUCGUAGAUAUUCGGAAGAACACCAGUGGCGAAGGCGACUGACUGGACAAGUAUUGACGCUGAGGUGCGAAAGCGUGGGGAGCAAACAGG